Molecule: small RNA, 98 nt
Filed under: Salmonella enterica subsp. enterica serovar Heidelberg
Lineage: Bacteria; Pseudomonadati; Pseudomonadota; Gammaproteobacteria; Enterobacterales; Enterobacteriaceae
Also listed under: 2 other names
Description: partial RtT sRNA
Rfam family: RtT RNA
About the family: This family represents a bacterial cis-regulatory element known as RtT RNA. The exact function of RtT is unknown although it is thought that it may be involved in changing the cellular response in relation to amino acid starvation.
Source: RNAcentral
GACUAAGGUUCGAUUCGAGCGCAGCGAGAACGCGUUGCCGCAGGCAACGACCCGAAGGGCGAAGCGCGCAGCGCUGAGUCAUCCUUCCCCCACCACCA